RNAcentral lists this ribosomal RNA (378 nucleotides) under uncultured bacterium. RNAcentral describes it as "partial 16S ribosomal RNA". It matches the Rfam family "Bacterial small subunit ribosomal RNA", at positions 338 to 733 of the family's 1533-position model. The record is from RNAcentral.
CCUACGGGUGGCAGCAGUGGGGAAUAUUGCACAAUGGGGGAAACCCUGAUGCAGCGACGCCGCGUGAGUGAAGAAGUAAUUCGUUAUGUAAAGCUCCAUCAGCAGGGAAGAAAAUGACGGUACCUGUGUAAGAAGCCCCGGCUAACUACGUGCCCGCAGCCGGGGUAAUACGUAGGGGGCAAGCGUUAUCCGGAUUUACUGGGCGUAAAGGGAGUGUAGUCGGGUGUGCAAGUCCGGAGUGAAAGGCGGGGGCUCAACCCCCGGACUGCUGUGGAAACUGUACGGCUGGAGUGCGGGAGAGGUAAGUGGAAUUCCUGGUGUAGCGGUGAAAUGCGUAGAUAUUAGGAAGAACACCAGUGGCGAAGGCGGCUUACUGGA